GACGAACGCUGGCGGCGUGCUUAACACAUGCAAGUCGAACGGAAAGGCCCUGCUUUUGUGGGGUGCUCGAGUGGCGAACGGGUGAGUAACACGUGAGUAACCUGCCCUUGACUUUGGGAUAACUUCAGGAAACUGGGGCUAAUACCGGAUAGGAGCUCCUGCUGCAUGGUGGGGGUUGGAAAGUUUCGGCGGUUGGGGAUGGACUCGCGGCUUAUCAGCUUGUUGGUGGGGUAGUGGCUUACCGAGGCUUUGACGGGUAGCCGGCCUGAGAGGGUGACCGGCCACAAUGGGACUGAGAUGAGGCCGAGACUACUCCGGGAGGCAGCAGUGGUGAAUAUUGCACAAUGAGCGGCGGCAUGAUGAAGGAGCGCCGCGUGCGGGAUGACGGCGUUCGGGUUGUAAACAGCUUUCGCCUGUGACGAAGAGGGAGUGACGGUAAUGGGUAAAGAAGCACCGGCUAACUACGUG
RNAcentral lists this ribosomal RNA (468 nucleotides) under uncultured bacterium. RNAcentral describes it as "partial 16S ribosomal RNA". It matches the Rfam family "Bacterial small subunit ribosomal RNA", at positions 28 to 507 of the family's 1533-position model. The record is from RNAcentral.